CCUACGGGCGGCAGCAGUGGGGAAUAUUGGGCAAUGGGCGCAAGCCUGACCCAGCAACGCCGCGUGAAGGAAGAAGGCUUUCGGGUUGUAAACUUCUUUUGUCAGGGACGUAGCAAGUGACGGUACCUGACGAAUAAGCCACGGCUAACUACGUGCCAGCAGCCGCGGUAAUACGUAGGUGGCAAGCGUUAUCCGGAUUUACUGGGUGUAAAGGGCGUGUAGGCGGGACUGCAAGUCAGAUGUGAAAGCGACGGGCUCAACCGUUGGCCUGCAUUUGAUACUGUAGUUCUUGAGUAUUGGAGAGGCAGACGGAAUUCCUAGUGUAGCGGUGAAAUGCGUAGAUAUUAGGAGGAACACCAGUGGCGAAGGCAGUCUGCUAGACAGCAACUGACACUGAGGCGCGAAAGCGUGGGGAGCAAACAGGAUUAGAUACCCGGGUAGUC
Molecule: ribosomal RNA, 443 nt
Filed under: uncultured bacterium
Lineage: Bacteria
Description: partial 16S ribosomal RNA
Rfam family: Bacterial small subunit ribosomal RNA
Source: RNAcentral